Molecule: ribosomal RNA, 1324 nt
Filed under: uncultured bacterium
Lineage: Bacteria
Description: bacterial SSU rRNA
Rfam family: Archaeal small subunit ribosomal RNA
Source: RNAcentral
GUUACUGCUAUCGGUGUUUGACUAAGCCAUGCGAGUCAAAUGUUCUUCGUGAACAUGGCGUAAUGCUCAGUAACACGUGGAUAACCUGCCCUCAGGUCCGGCAUAACCUCGGGAAACUGAGGAUAAUUCCGGAUAUCUCUUCUCUGCCGGAAUCGCUUGAAGAGCAAAAGAAUUUCGCCUGAGGAUGGGUCUGCGGCCUAUCAGGUUGUAGGGGGUGUAAUGUACCUCCUAGCCGACAACGGGUACGGGUUGUGAGAGCAAGAGCCCGGAGAUGGAUUCUGAGACAUGAAUCCAGGCCCUACGGGGCGCAGCAGGCGCGAAAACUUUACAAUGCAGGAAACUGUGAUAAGGAGACACCGAGUGCUCGCAUCAAAUGCGGGCUGUCCACCUACUUAAAUCGUAGGUGUUAGCAAGGGCCGGGCAAGACCGGUGCCAGCCGCCGCGGUAAUACCGGUGGCCCGAGUGGUAGCCGCUUUUAUUGGGUCUAAAGGGUCCGUAGCCCGUUUGGUCAGUCCAUUGGGAAAUCCGGAUGCUCAACAUCCGGGCUUCCAGUGGAUACUGCCAGACUUGGGAUCGGGGAGGUAAGAGGUACUACAGGGGUAGGAGUGAAAUCUUGUAAUCCUUGUGGGACCACCUGUGGCGAAGGCGUCUUACCAAAACGAGUCCGACGGUGAGGGACGAAAGCUGGGGGCACGAACCGGAUUAGAUACCCGGGUAGUCCCAGCCGUAAACGAUGCUCGCUAGGUGUCAGGCAUGGCGUGACUGUGUCUGGUGCCGAAGGGAAGCCGUGAAGCGAGCCACCUGGGAAGUACGGCCGCAAGGCUGAAACUUAAAGGAAUUGGCGGGGGAGCACAACAACGGGUGGAGCCUGCGGUUUAAUUGGACUCAACGCCGGAAAACUCACCAGGGGAGACAGCAAUAUGUAGGUCAAGCUGAAGACUUUACCUGAAUCGCUGAGAGGAGGUGCAUGGUCGUCGCCAGUUCGUACUGUGAAGCAUCCUGUUAAGUCAGGCAACGAGCGAGACCCGUGCCCACAGUUACCAGCGGCAUCUCCGGAUGGCCGGGUACUCUGUGGGGACCGCCGGUGUUAAAUCGGAGGAAGGUGCGGGCUACGGUAGAUCAGUAUGCCCCGAAUCUCUUGGGCUACACGCGGGCUACAAUGGGCGGGACAAUGGGCAACUACCCCGAAAGGGGAUGUUAAUCUCAUAAACCCGUUCGAAGUUCGGAUCGAGGAUUGAAACCCAUCCUCGUGAAGCUGGAAUCCGUAGUAAUCGCGUUUCAACAUAGCGCGGUGAAUACGUCCCUGCUCCUUGCACACACCGCC